Mastomys coucha (southern multimammate mouse) is the source of this 388-nucleotide long non-coding RNA. RefSeq lists it as uncharacterized. The record is from RefSeq and is a predicted model, not a curated record. NCBI's taxonomy places the organism in Eukaryota, Metazoa, Chordata, Mammalia, Rodentia, Muridae. The transcript has 2 exons.
CGAGCACAUGGCCAACCGGACCGUCUACUAGUAAUCCCAUCGAGGGAGAGGAAGACCGUCACCAUGGGUUUUGGGCCGAGUUUGAAGCAAGCUUAAUUAGGCAUUGGCCAGGAGAGACAAGAAGUCACGUCUGUACAGAGCCUUGUCAGCUGCAGAGACGUUUGUCCUUCAAGAUGUCACAUGAGGAGAAGCUGGCUGAGGGGCACACAGGCCAUGGCACAUCGGCAGAGCCUUUAAAGGACAUUUAUUCCAGAUGCUUCCUGAGGGGCCACCGGUGGCCUGGGCUCCAUCUGCACUCCCCUCCUGUCCUGUCCCUGCCUCCUGAUUCACUCACCCUGCUUGGCAGGAGUGAGAAGCUCUGUUUGGCAUAAACAGCUCCUAUAACCAA